GAUGAACGCUGGCGGCGUGCCUAAUACAUGCAAGUCGAGCGAACAGACGAGGAGCUUGCUCCUCUGACGUUAGCGGCGGACGGGUAAGUAACACGUGGAUAACCUACCUAUAAGACUGGGAUAACGUCGGGAAACCGGAGCUAAUACCGGAUAAUAUAGUGAACCGCAUGGUUCAAUAGUGAAAGGCGGUUUUGCUGUCACUGAUAGAUGGAUCCGCGCCGCAUUAGCUAGUUGGUAAGGUAACGGCUUACCAAGGCGACGAUGCGUAGCCGACCUGAGAGGGUGAUCGGCCACACUGGAACUGAGACACGGUCCAGACUCCUACGGGAGGCAGCAGUAGGGAAUUUUCCGCAAUGGGCGAAAGCCUGACGGAGCCACGCCGCGUGCGUGAUGAAGGUCUUCGGAUCGUAAAACUCUGUUAUUAGGGACGAACAAAUGUGUACGUAUCUAUGCACGUCUUGACGGUACCUAAUCAGAAAGCCCCGGCUAACUACGUG
Molecule: ribosomal RNA, 497 nt
Filed under: uncultured bacterium
Lineage: Bacteria
Description: partial 16S ribosomal RNA
Rfam family: Bacterial small subunit ribosomal RNA
Source: RNAcentral